AGCUCAGGAUUUAUAAUACAAACCUUGUCCUUCAGUAAACCAUUGGGUCCAAGAACGUGUUCGAAAAUGUGCUGUCUGACGUGGGCAUCAACAGCUGAGAGGGGGUCAUCGAGCAGGUAAAUCGAAGCCUUCUGGUACACGGCACGAGCAAGGUUCACUCUUUGCUUCUGCCCUCCAGACAGAUUUAUUCCCUGGAAAAAUGUAUUGACUCUGUUUAUUCCACAGCUACAGCAUAUUUGUCAGCUGUUGACUCCAUUUUGUGCUGUUUUAUGACUCCCUUAUUUUUAAACCAGUGCAUCUCCCUCCCUCCAAACAGGGCUCUUGCAGAGGCAGAGUCUUCUGAGCAACUCCACUCUCCUGUAAAAGAGCACCCCAGAAUGGCCUGGAUUUGUUGAUUUUUGUCUUUAACAACUCUCAUGUCUCUGGUGAGGUUAACUGUCAGGAGGUGGGCUUAAAUUAAAUAGAUCAUGGCCCAGCUUUCCAGAAAUCACUGAGCACCUGCCUCAUGCAAGUUUAAUUUCUUUGUAGGUGUUUUAAGCAGGACACCUGAAGUUGUAGCUACUCAAAGAAAAGUUGGCCAAAAUAUAAACCUAAGUAUAAGUACCUUUUCUCCUAUUUCACUCUUCUGCCCUGCAGGGAAGCUCUCCAAAUCAGGGUGCAGUGCACAAGCAUGUAUGACUCUAUUGAACCAUGUUUCAUCCAUCUCUUUCCCGAAAAGAAUAUUAUCUUCCACUGUAGCAUUUAGUACCCAAGCUUGCUGGGGGACAUAAGCUGCAGUGUCCUAUAGAAGUGGAACAAUGUUAGUAAUCUUUUCCAUAAGCUCAGCUUGACACUGUGGGAACCCAUCUUUGCAGAAAAGCUCUCUGAGUUAUAGAAGUCUGGAAUGAUCAUCACCAUUGAUAGGUCUCAGAGGGCUUUGCAAAAUAUGAGUCUGCACUGUUGUUAUCUGACAGAGGAGGACACAGAGGUGCAAGUAAAUGAUGAGAUUUACCAGGAUGACAUUUCAGCUCACUGUCAGAGUGGGAAAUAGAACUGGAUCUUUGAAGCAAUGUUUCAGCUCCUAUUUCCAAAGUCUUCAGCACCUUCAGAUAAUUAAAUGGGGACUGAUACAUUUAAAUUGUUAAAAUUCAGCAGUAAAUGCAUUGUCAUCAAGUACCUGAUGCCUUGGUUAAUACCUUACAGUUCCUGAAAAUAGCCUAAUUAGAAGCAAAUGCUCAGGGGGAAAUUUACCUUCAUGGUCACAGAGCCAUCCAGUUUCUCCAGCUCACCAAGUAAUGCUGACAGCAAGGAGGACUUCCCAGCACCCACCUGGCCAACUACAGCAAGCAAAGAGCCUUGGGGCACAAAUUCAGCAUUAAAUAUGAAGUGAACUCAGAAGCCUCUGGACAUUCCACAUUGGCCCUACAGAGUUGAGAGAUGACUAAGGCAAAAUAUACCUGAAACUGACUCCUCUUCUUGGUGAUCACGAAAUUCAGAGGCAGAAGAAAAAGGAAUACAGCAAUUGCAGUCAAGGCAGAUGGCCCUAGAAGCUGUCAGGAACUAGAUUAGUGCUGAAAGUGAUCCAGCAGCACACUGGCAAUUCCAGCCAUUCCUCCCAUGUCCUUGGAUGCGUUAAGGAGGACAUCUUGUGGCUGGCUUAAGCAACAAUUUCUUCAGAGGAGUCCUCUUUCCUCACUGGCCACAAGUCAUCCACCUCCAGGGACUGCUGAGAGCCUUUCCAGAGAAGCCUGGAGAACACACAGACUGCAGUCAGAGAACCACCAGUAUGUGAUUUUGGAAAGAAAAGAGCUUCUGGCUUCUGGACAGUGAUUCUGAUGGGAGAGAAAACAUGUGAUAUUAUAUAUAGAAAAAUGUAUGUGUCAGAUGAAUAUAAUUCCCUUCUGUGCUCCCCCAGGAAAAGCAAUCAAAGAGUUACCCCCACCCCUCAAUUCACUGACCCAGACAGAGCAAGUGUAUUGUGGAGGAUCAAUGGGAUUGGGAGAUUUUGGAGAAUUUAACUUUGAAUAACUUCUCAGAUAGAAGAAAAAAGAAUAUAAUUCUUCAUACGCAGAGAUGUUUAUUUUCUUAAGCACAGAAAUUUGUCAUACCCAUACCAUCAAGUACUGCUGCACAGGAGAGCAGCAACAGGGGAAGCAAUAGGAGCCCUGUCUGCUGGUUUCAAUGACAAGAAACAUUAGUAUGGAUAAAAGGGCAUGUUGAAUUUUGAAACUAAACAUCACAACUGCAGCCACAAACGACAGCAGCCAAUAAAUCAACAGGACCCCUGAAGACUGGAUGCCCAUCAUUCUUUCUGCCUGGGUAAGGAACAGGGCAAGGAUCUGUGAGGAAGUACAAAUUUGUCCACAUAAAUACCUGGUAAUGGAAUGCCAAACACUGUUAUCAAAUUAAUGAAAAAAGAUCAGUUUCUUUUCCAAACACUUUGAGAUGUUCAGAGCUGUAGUAGCUGUAGUAUUGUUCCUAAAAGGCUAAAACUGAACAGCAUUAUGUGCAAUUUUGCACUCAAGAAUGUCUCUGGAGAAAGGGCAAGUAAUAAAACUACAAGUGGACCAACAGGCAAGAUCUGCUCUGCCCACAGGGCAGAGGUGUAGCUCCAGUAAUCUGCCCUGACUCCAAAGCCAUGGCUUGUGGGCCUUCUAUUCCCCAUCAGCCAAAUUUGUGCUCAGAGACACUGAGAAACGUGGGAAAUACAAGAUCUGUCCCAGGAGGGCUAAGCUUGGCCAUGUGCAGACAGACAAGGGAAGAAUUACCAUUGUGAUUCCCAUCACAGCAGGGCCGAUGAAGAACUCUGGAGCCCGUGGGAUUCCUUGGCUUAUCUCCCACAGCAUGAAGAAAACAUUAGUAAAACACAGUAUCACCAGAAUGAAUCCAAGGACGAUUUUGGUUUUGAAGAUGCGGGACAUCCUGAUAUAGCCCCUGUUCCUGUGUCGAAGAUACAGGUAGUAGAAAGGAAAACAGAUCCAAAGAUAGGCACAAGGGAUCCAGGUGAUGACUGAGCUCUCAAAGCACCAGGUAAAUCCUGAGGUGUUUGUAUGCCAUGUCUGAUUCCAGUCCUGUCACAGAAACAACACAGAAGUGAAAUAGUAAAGCAAAUGUACACAGAUUUUCACAGCUAAUGCAGGUUCCUAAUGCUACAGCUGAGAUCUACUACGUUAGUGGAAUUUGAUUUAGGGUUUCAAAUGUAAAAAACAUUUGGCAACAGAGACGAACUUAGCUAUAGCAGUUUGGAGGGAAUUGAAGUAGAAAGGCAGGACGAAGAUUGCAAAAGUGAAAGAUGCCGAAGAAAGGACAUGUAUCACAACUAGAGAGAAAAGAAAAGAAAGGUAAGUUAAUGAAAAUGGAAUGAGAAAAGGUAAUUUGGGAAUUAAACAGAUGAUCAGCAUUUGGGAACCAUCAUAACAAACAACAGGAAAUGACCAGUGAAAUGGAGAUUAGGAGGAAAAAAGUGUCCUAGUGCAUGAACUGCAUUUCCUCAGCUGUUUGUACUAACCCUUUGUGACUUUUUGACUGAACAAAUAUUGGAUCUCAUCUGGCAACUGUACAUAAGUGGGUAAGGUUAUUUUUCC
Molecule: long non-coding RNA, 3563 nt
Organism: Chiroxiphia lanceolata (lance-tailed manakin)
Lineage: Eukaryota; Metazoa; Chordata; Aves; Passeriformes; Pipridae
Exons: 7
Source: RefSeq, a predicted model, not a curated record